AUCAGACUUCUAUAUAUAAACUCUCCGGACCGUCCAUUCAAACCUGAAAGCCACCGUUCUAUGCUAUGGCUUUUGAAAAGAAUAACCCAAAAAUUGAAAUUUACAGUCGAUAAACAACGCCGUAUAAUAUAUCGGUUAUAUAAACGAAAACGGAACAGUUUCACUGUGCAAUUUAGACUACUGAACAUUUCGACUACGUGGCGGAGGAAGACCAUAGUAACAGCUUUGUUGUCAAGGAGUGCGACGUCCCACUUUGGACCAAAGUACCAAGGCGCAGUGAUAUUGAAAUUUGGGCGCACAGCAGCAGAAGAUAGUGCUUGACAAUCGCACGGGUGGAAAGCAAACGCUUGGGUUUCCGUUUAUUUCCUGUACGUACAGACUAACGUAGUUCACACUAAAAUACAAUGGCUGAUCAGCUAACAGAGGAGCAGAUUGCUGAAUUCAAGGAGGCCUUCUCCUUAUUUGACAAAGACGGUUUCCCAGCUUGCCUCUUU
This is a long non-coding RNA of Sinocyclocheilus rhinocerous, 494 nucleotides long. RefSeq lists it as uncharacterized. The transcript is spliced from 3 exons. Lineage: Eukaryota; Metazoa; Chordata; Actinopteri; Cypriniformes; Cyprinidae. The record is from RefSeq and is a predicted model, not a curated record.